RNAcentral lists this ribosomal RNA (310 nucleotides) under uncultured eukaryote. RNAcentral describes it as "partial 18S ribosomal RNA". It matches the Rfam family "Eukaryotic small subunit ribosomal RNA", at positions 1470 to 1796 of the family's 1831-position model. The record is from RNAcentral.
CCCUUAGAUGUUCUGGGCUGCACGCGUGCUACACUGAUUAUUUCAACAAGUGUUUUAACUGGAGAGUUCGCGUAAUCCUGAAAUGUUAUCGUGAUGGGAGUAGAGUAUUGUAUUUGUUAAUCUUUAACGAGGAAUUCCUAGUAAGUGUAGGUUUAUAAGUUGUUCUGACUACGUCCCUGCCCUUUGUACACACCGCCCGUCGCUCCUACCGAUUGAUUGAUCCGGUGAAUUACAUAGAAUUUUGCGUUUUACAUGACGGAAGACGAAGUGUUUUAAACCUUAUCAUUUAGAGGAAGGAGAAGUCGUAACA